CUGGGAACAAUAUCCUGAUGCUGCAUGAGUGUGUCAAGUGGAACUCCAGCAUCAGUGAUUUUGUUGCCAG
Molecule: non-coding RNA, 70 nt
Organism: Salmo salar (Atlantic salmon)
Lineage: Eukaryota; Metazoa; Chordata; Actinopteri; Salmoniformes; Salmonidae
Source: Rfam